This 66-nucleotide transfer RNA is filed under the name Lirapex sp. ZZ-2022. RNAcentral describes it as "tRNA-Leu". The record is from RNAcentral. Lineage: Eukaryota; Metazoa; Mollusca; Gastropoda; Neomphalida; Peltospiridae.
AUUGAGGUGACAGAAAAAUGUGUUAGAUUUAAGCUCUAAUUAUAAAGGUCAUUCCUUUUCUUAAUA